This 561-nucleotide ribosomal RNA is filed under the name uncultured archaeon. Its description in RNAcentral is "bacterial SSU rRNA". It matches the Rfam family "Archaeal small subunit ribosomal RNA", at positions 327 to 894 of the family's 1478-position model. The record is from RNAcentral.
GGGGUGCAGCAGGCGCGAAAACUUUGCAAUGCGGGAAACCGUGACAAGGGAACUCUGAGUGCCCGUUAAAUCGGGCUGUCCAUCGGUUUAAAUAACCGGUGAAGAAAGGGCCGGGCAAGACCGGUGCCAGCCGCCGCGGUAAUACCGGCGGCUCGAGUGGUGGCCACUAUUACUGGGCUUAAAGCGUUCGUAGCUGGUUUGUUAAGUCUCUGGGGAAAUCUUCCGGCUUAACCGGAAGGCGUCUCAGGGAUACUGGCAGACUAGGGACCGGGAGAGGUGAGAGGUACUCCAGGGGUAGGAGUGAAAUCCUGUAAUCCUUGGGGGACCACCUGUGGCGAAGGCGUCUCACCAGAACGGCUCCGACAGUGAGGGACGAAAGCUGGGGGAGCAAACCGGAUUAGAUACCCGGGUAGUCCCAGCUGUAAACGAUGUGCGUUAGGUGUAUCGGUGACCACGAGUCACCGAGGUGCCGAAGAGAAAUCGUGAAACGUACCGCCUGGGAAGUACGGUCGCAAGGCUGAAACUUAAAGGAAUUGGCGGGGGAGCACAAGGGCGAUUCGC